RNAcentral lists this ribosomal RNA (214 nucleotides) under uncultured Anoxybacillus sp. RNAcentral's name for it is "partial 16S ribosomal RNA". It matches the Rfam family "Bacterial small subunit ribosomal RNA", at positions 1170 to 1382 of the family's 1533-position model. The record is from RNAcentral. Lineage: Bacteria; Bacillati; Bacillota; Bacilli; Caryophanales; Anoxybacillaceae.
AAGGUGGGGAUGACGUCAAAUCAUCAUGCCCCUUAUGACCUGGGCUACACACGUGCUACAAUGGGCGGUACAAAGGGUCGCGAACCCGCGAGGGGGAGCCAAUCCCAAAAAGCCGCUCUCAGUUCGGAUUGCAGGCUGCAACUCGCCUGCAUGAAGCCGGAAUCGCUAGUAAUCGCGGAUCAGCAUGCCGCGGUCGAAUACGUUCCCGGGCCUU